Molecule: long non-coding RNA, 1171 nt
Filed under: Homo sapiens (human)
Lineage: Eukaryota; Metazoa; Chordata; Mammalia; Primates; Hominidae
Description: HSALNT0341591
Source: RNAcentral
UGGAGCUGGGCUGUUUUCUCCUCGGUUUGGAGCCUGGUGACCGUGACUUCCCCGCCAUGUUCUGUGUGUUGCUGGCUGGAGAAGGGUAGUUGACAAACUCCGACCCAGCACAGUGUUUCUGUGGGUCAAAACUAGAAAACUAUGUCCGGGCUCCGCCGAGGCGGAAGGAUCCCUUCAGGCCAGGAGUUAAAGAGCGGCCUGGGCAACAUGGCGCGACUCCAUCUCUGUAGUCCCUCCUCAGCUUCCCAGAUACUUGAACCCCAAGGUUCAAGGCUGCAAUGAGCUAUGAUCCCAUCACAGCACUCUAUCCUGCGAGACUGAAGUAAACCUUGUCUAAAAAAAUAAACUAUCCAAGUGUGCAACAGGGAGGGACCGCUUAAAGAAAACAUGAGACGGGGUUUCACCAUGUUGGCCAGGCUGGUCUGGAACUCCUGACCUGAAGUGAUCUGCCCACCUCGGCUUCCCAAAGUGCUGGGACUGCAGGUGUGAGCCACUGCGCCUGGCCCCUUCAGGUGGGUUUUGAGGCUUCACGUUGCUGCUGCAAUAAAUUACCACACACUUAGUGGCUUAAAACAGCACAGAGGUAUUCCCUUACAUUUCUGAAGGCCAGAAUUCUAAAAUCAGUCCCACUGAGUCAAGGUGGGAGCAGGGUCAGUGCCUUCCCAGGCUCUGCGGGAGAAUCUGUUUCCUGGCCCUGGAGGCGGCCUGUACUCCUUAGCUUGUGCUGCCCUUCUGGAAUGACUCGAGUUUCCUGCUUUCAUCACUACACCUCCCACCGCUCUCCAUCACCUGCUGUGCUCUUACGAGGAUCCAGUUUUCAGAGAAAUGGAAUAAUUGUAUUGCUGAUCUACGUAAACAAGUUGAAGAAUUGUCUGAAAGAAAAUAUGGUGUGUCUGAACUGGAAAAGUCCUGUGAUAGUUUGUUCAUGAGCAUUUACACAAUGGAGUUACUGUUCAUCAUGGGGGUACUGUGGACAAGCCCAGGGCUGCUGGCUGGAGUGCAACGGCACGAUCUUGGCUCACCGCAACCUCCGCCUCCCAGGUUCAAGCGAUUCUCCUGCCUCAGCCUCCCGAGUAGCUGGAAUUACAGGCAUGUGCCACCACACCCGGCUAAUGUUUUUGUAUUUUUAGUAGAGACAGGGUUUCACCAUGUUAGCCAGAAUGGUCUCGAU